This 166-nucleotide unclassified non-coding RNA is filed under the name soil metagenome. Its description in RNAcentral is "partial internal transcribed spacer 1". The record is from RNAcentral.
CAGGACUCGCAAGACUCCUACAACCCUGUGAACUUAACUAUAAGCACGUUGCUUCGGCGGGUGUCUCGGCGAGGGUUCUCCCUCCCCGCGGGCGCGUCAGCCCGCCGGCAGCCUACUAUACUCUGUUCUCUUUGCGUUGGCAUCUCGAGUAAAAUCAAAUAAGUUA